AUCAAGGUGAGGACCUCCCUGCCCCGCCGCGCUCCAGGCCCUGCACGGCUGAGCCCGAGAGGACCGGCGCUCAGCCCGGGUCCCCACGCUGCCCCCGGCGCUGCUCUGCGUCGGUCCCGCGCGCUCCCACUCACUCGCCUGCUGUCGCGCUCCGGGCCGGGGCGACUUGGCCCUUCUUGGGCAGCGCGGUCUGGCGCCCCAGCUGUCCGCUGUGCGCCUUUUCCUUAGGUGGGGCACGAGCGUAAGGUCCAGCUGGUCACCGACAGGGAUCACUUCAUCCGAACCCUCAGCCUCAAGCCGCUGCUCUUCGAAAUCCCCGGCUUCCUGACUGAUGAAGAGUGUCGGCUCAUCAUCCAUCUGGCGCAGAUGAAGGGGUUACAGCGCAGCCAGAUCCUGCCUACUGAAGAGUAUGAAGAGGCAAUGAGCACUAUGCAGGUCAGCCAGCUGGACCUCUUCCGGCUGCUGGACCAGAACCGUGAUGGGCAUCUGCAGCUCCGUGAGGUUCUGGCCCAGACUCGCCUGGGAAAUGGAUGGUGGAUGACUCCAGAGAGCAUUCAGGAGAUGUACGCCGCGAUCAAGGCUGACCCUGAUGGUGACGGAGUGCUGAGUCUGCAGGAGUUCUCCAACAUGGACCUUCGGGACUUCCACAAGUACAUGAGGAGCCACAAGGCAGAGUCCAGUGAGCUGGUGCGGAAC
Molecule: small RNA, 696 nt
Filed under: Pan troglodytes (chimpanzee)
Lineage: Eukaryota; Metazoa; Chordata; Mammalia; Primates; Hominidae
Description: processed transcript
Source: RNAcentral